RNAcentral lists this ribosomal RNA (276 nucleotides) under uncultured prokaryote. RNAcentral's name for it is "partial 16S ribosomal RNA". It matches the Rfam family "Bacterial small subunit ribosomal RNA", at positions 524 to 801 of the family's 1533-position model. The record is from RNAcentral.
UACGUAGGGGCUAGCGUUAUCCGGAAUUACUGGGCGUAAAGGGUGCGUAGGUGGUUUCUUAAGUCAGAGGUGAAAGGCUACGGCUCAACCGUAGUAAGCCUUUGAAACUGGGGAACUUGAGUGCAGGAGAGGAGAGUGGAAUUCCUAGUGUAGCGGUGAAAUGCGUAGAUAUUAGGAGGAACACCAGUUGCGAAGGCGGCUCUCUGGACUGUAACUGACGCUGAGGCACGAAAGCGUGGGGAGCAAACAGGAUUAGAUACCCUGGUAGUCCCUGAG